RNAcentral lists this long non-coding RNA (479 nucleotides) under Homo sapiens (human). RNAcentral describes it as "non-protein coding lnc-TBCCD1-4:65". Lineage: Eukaryota; Metazoa; Chordata; Mammalia; Primates; Hominidae. The record is from RNAcentral.
GUCAGCUGCUAUGACAAUGCCCGGGCGAUCGUGCCCUCCAGCGCUGCCUGCAUGCCGAGGAGGAAGCGAGUCCCCACGUGAAUAAUCGGGCUCCGCCGGCUCACAGCGGAUGUCAGAAGGUUGCUGGCAGAGGUGGUUGGGGCUAUGUGCCUGGAGUGAAGAUUCUGCCCAUUGGUCAAGAGACCUCCCUCUCAGAUGCUGGCUCUGCCCCUGCCUUUGGGGGUCGACCCUUGUACUCGCAGGACCUUAGGUGACUCUGACUUUGUCAAAGGAAAAAUUUCUGCAUGUGCACACACAGAUCUUGGAAGUUUAUUCAUCUCAGCAGAGGCAGACAGGAGCAUCAACAGCCUUGGGGACAGCAGCAGUGGUGGUAGGGCAAAAUAAAACUUAUAUGAAACUGUAAUCACUAAUGUGUGAAAAUGGAAGAUUCAGGAAGUGUUUCAUAUCUGAAAUAUGAACCCAACGUGGAAUCAACAUGC